Molecule: ribosomal RNA, 397 nt
Filed under: uncultured bacterium
Lineage: Bacteria
Description: bacterial SSU rRNA
Rfam family: Bacterial small subunit ribosomal RNA
Source: RNAcentral
AUUGAACGCUGGCGGCAUGCCUUACACAUGCAAGUCGAACGGCAGCACGGGAGCAAUCCUGGUGGCGAGUGGCGAACGGGUGAGUAAUAUAUCGGGACGUGCCCAGUCGUGGGGAUAACGUAGCGAAAGCUACGCUAAUACCGCAUACGAUCUAUGGAUGAAAGCGGGGGAUCGCAAGACCUCGCGCGAUUGGAGCGGCCGAUAUCAGAUUAGGUAGUUGGUGAGGUAAAGGCUCACCAAGCCGACGAUCUGUAGCUGGUCUGAGAGGACGACCAGCCACACUGGGACUGAGACACGGCCCAGACUCCUACGGGAGGCAGCAGUGGGGAAUUUUUGGACAAUGGGCGAAAGCCUGAUCCAGCAAUGCCGCGUGAGUGAUGAAGGCCUCGGUUGUAAG